Long non-coding RNA from Papaver somniferum (opium poppy), 1029 nucleotides. RefSeq lists it as uncharacterized. The record is from RefSeq and is a predicted model, not a curated record. NCBI's taxonomy places the organism in Eukaryota, Viridiplantae, Streptophyta, Magnoliopsida, Ranunculales, Papaveraceae. The transcript has 4 exons.
AUGAAACUCCAACCUGAGAAAAAAGAUACAAUACAACAUACCACCAGCACCAUCAUCAUCAUAGCCAGCACCACGACCACCACCACCACCGUAGCAGCAACACCAAAUGCCACCGUCGCAGCACCACCAACCACCAUAACUAGCAGUGCGACUAAAUAACGUUAUUCUCAAUCAAAAUCCCUACUCUCUUGCUUAGAUUCCAAUAAUCAUUCCUUCACCACCAACACCAUCACCACCACAGGAACUAGCAUCAUCAACCUCCGCUAGCACCUAGUGUCAUUCAUCGCUACCCUAAUCAUUAUCUGAGUAUUUGUUCAAGAAAAGAGAGUAGAGAACAAUGCAGAGGUUUGAUAUUGACCAGUAUGAGGUUAUCGUGGAGGCCAUAUAAGAAACUUGACCAUCACACAUACUGCCCAUCUCCAGAUUCGAAGCAUUUUGGCAUUAAGUUGGGUUGCUAAAGCUUUUUCAAAGAUAGAUGAGUUAAUUAAGGAUUUAUCGAAGGCAUUGAAGUGCUGCAAAGUUGCUUUAGCAUAGGAGAAAGCACAAUCGAUAUUUGGCUCGAUUCGUAUGGUAAAACAUCUCAUAAAGAAAAGGUAUUCUCAUGCUCUUAAUAAACUUUUACAUAACUAGUUCUCAUUAAUUUAUGUCGAUGUUUCCCUUAUAAUUUGACCAGAUCUAAGACAUAGAUGUUAUAUCGCACAACUGAAAAACCAAGACACGCGUAGACAACCAGUAAAUUACUACUUUUAUCCGUUAUCUAGAAAGUUCUAAUGGUUUAACUUUUUUUUUUUGUUUUGAAUGCCGAGAUAAAGAAAAGGAAAUUAGUUUCUGGGAAGUUUAUUUUGUUCGUAUUUUAAGCUAGGAUUCUGCUCCUUUAGUUGUGAAGGAGCGUGCCUUUCUAUCAUCCGUCUUAUAUGUUUGAAUGUCGUCAAUGUAAAGUUUAUACUCAUCUUUGUUGAAAGUCACACUGUAUAUGUUUGUUGUGUACUAAUUAGAUGAGCAAUACAUGCUAUUAUGUUUUGCGGUGUA